This is a non-coding RNA of Lepisosteus oculatus (spotted gar), 510 nucleotides long. NCBI's taxonomy places the organism in Eukaryota, Metazoa, Chordata, Actinopteri, Semionotiformes, Lepisosteidae. The record is from the annotation of a RefSeq genome assembly.
AUGACUUUCAUCACCAUCUUCAUCUGGACACUUGUCUACUUUCAUGGUUCAAGUGGACAGGUUACUGUGACUCAGACUCCAUCAGUGACAUCUGUUCUCCCAGCACAGACAGUCACUGUGAGCUGUAAGACCAGCAGUUUUGUUGGUACCUGUUUUUAUAGUAGUUUUCAAAGUGGCAUCUGUCUUGCUUGGUACCAACAGAAAGCUGGAGAAGCUCCCAAACUCCUGAUCUAUGCAGCAACAAUCCAUGAGUCUGGGAUUCCAGAGCAUUUUAAGCAUUUCAGUGGUAGUGGAUCUGGGACUGACUUCACUCUGACCAUCACAGGAGUCCAGGCUGAAGAUGCAGCAGAUUAUUACUGUCAGAGUCAACACUACCUCAACAGUAAUUGGCUGUUCACACAGGGCUACACACCCAUACAAAAACCUCCCUCACUAGUAGACACCUACGACAAGGCCUACAAGCAUUUUCAGCUACCUGACAUGCCUAAAAUUGAAAGUUCUGACCUCUGA